AGAGUUGGGUUAAGGAAUAGUUAGCCUUACUACAGGCCUCAGGGGCAUUAGGCUGGUCCAGGUCCUAGUGCCGGUCCGACACAUAGGAUGGGUCGUGACAGAGAAGGGGGGAAAUUGCAUAUUCCACUGUAUAUUUCCCUUACUUCUUCUUCUACUUCUUUAUCUUCCCCAUGUGAUUGUAUUUUCCUCUUAUUAAUUAAACCAAUGUGAUGAGAUUUAUAUAUACAUCAUGAGGUAUACUCCCUUGUCCCACACAUACGGCGACUCUCCUUAUAUAAAUUUCACUCGUUAAGCUGCAUGAUCUAUUUGCUAGUGUGCGAAAGGCUUGGAAAGAAAAAGAAAAAAAGAAUCCAUUUUAUGAGUCUCAUUGGCAUGUUAUGUAUUAGCUAGCAAUGAAUAAUAAAUUGAGAUUUGGAAUUGAAAUCAAGUUGGGGUCCAUGAUAGCUAGAUAUAGUAAACAAUAUGAAUUACAAAAUAUGGGCUAUCCCAAACAAUUUAUUUUUACAUCGGUUAAUAUUUAAUAGUAAAAAUUAAAAAAAAAAAAAAGGCUCACUUGGAUGAUUUGGUGUUUGGACUUCUAAAGUUCCAAGUAUUUGUUUUGAGUAUUUCUGUACUCGGCUUUAGUUAUAUUAGACAUUUUACAUCUAGCACAUAAUGAAGUUUGUUGAAAUGAAAAUGGUUAAUAGUUUUUAAUAAUAGGAUUAAAAUGUCUUAAUUAUGAUUUAAGUGUUUAUCUAUAAUUACUAAUCUUUAAUUGUCAAUCGCUAAUUCAUGCAUUAGGAACUAAGCAGCCCAUAAAGAAUCCCAAUCCAAAUAGGCCCAUACAAGAUAUCCAUUCAACUGUUUGGGCCCAAUAGAAUCCAGAUUGUUUCCGAAGCAAAAGCUCUUCCCCCCACCAGGACAGAACUUCCGUUUAAACCCUAGCAACAAGGGUUUAUGCUCUCGCGCCAGACCCUGAAAACAAAACCUUCGAUUCCCCAAUUCACACAUGACCUAAAUUUCGAUCUUUUGACUUCAUUUGAAAUCCUCACUCAAACAUCUUAUUCAUGUCUGCAUCUAAAUUAUCUUCCUGUGUAGCAGUUGCUACGGCUGCUGCUGUUGCCUCCUUGUCCUCGCUCCAAGACCGGGCCUACGCCGACGGGUCUUUUCGCUUCAAUCCCUUCUCUUCCUCCUCAUCUUCGUCUUCAAGUUCAUCUAAUUCUUCUUCGAAGCAGCAAGCGGACCACUCAUCAAAUGAGAAAGCCGAAGCCGAGGAGCCUAGGGGGGCGGGGUUCGAUCCCGAAGCGUUGGAAAGAGGCGCUAAAGCUCUUCGCGAAAUCAACAGCUCUCCUUAUGCCAAACAGGUUUGGUUUUUAAUUCUGGUUUUUCUUUCUCCAAUGUUUGAUUGCCUAGAAAAUGGUACGAACCGGAAGAAUCCUGAGCUUUCGAUAUUAAAUUGUGUAUUAUUUCAUUUCACGCAUAUGCCAACUUCACUUGGAUUGACCAUGUUAAGCAAUAUUCGUCCAAUUCGAGAAACCUUGCAUGUAAUUUAAUUUGGUUUGUAUUUUGUGUUUAUGGAGUAAUUGGAAAUGAUUUCAAAUUGCUUAUGAGUAACGCUGUUUUCAGGUUUUUGAUGUUAUGAGGAAGCAAGAACAAACUCGGCAAGCAGAAUUGGAAGCUGAGAAAGCUCAUUACGAAGCUAUUCAAGCUCAAGUUGACAUUGACAGGCAACAGAAAUUGGCUGAAGAACAACGAAACCUAGUGCAACAACAAGCACAGGCAAAGGCUCAAAUGCUGCGAUAUGAGGACGAACUGGCUAGAAAAAGGAUGCAGGUUUUUGAAGCCUUACAUUCUAGCCUUGUUGAAAAAUAAUUGGGAUUUGGUUCACAAAAUGCUUUUUCUUGUUAUCCAAUUGGUUUACAAAUAGUUUCACACUACAGAAGAAAAGACUGUUGAAUUUCUGAAACAGGGCCUGCAAAUGUUUUUUAGGCAUAUUUGUAAGCAUGUUGAAGCAACUGGCUUCAUGGUUCCAUCAGUGUAUGUGUUGCAUUGUUUGUUAAAAGUGAGUGAUAAGAUGACACAAACAAAUUGAUUAGUUGGCCCUUAGGCUGAAUUCUCCAUCUAAUUAUUCUUGCGUAAAAUUUACAUUGCAUAGUAAGCAGAUAUGUUUUUGCCUUCAAAAGUUAUAUUUUGUUGUCUUAUCAUUAUUUUCAGACAGAUCAUGAAGCUCAGAGGCGACAUAAUGUUGAAUUGGUUAAGAUGCAAGAGGAGUCUUCGAUACGAAAAGAACAGGCAAGACGAGCUACUGAGGAGCAGAUCCAUGCUCAACAGCGCCAGACUGAGAAAGAGAGAGCUGAAAUAGAACGGGAAACAAUAAGAGUUAAAGCCAUGGCUGAGGCUGAAGGCCGGGCCCAUGAGGCAAAAUUGACUGAGGAUCAUAACAGAAGAAUGUUAGUUGAACGGAUAAAUGGUGAAAGAGAAAAAUGGCUUGCAGCUAUUAAUACUACUUUUAGUCACAUUGAAGGUAAAUGACUACUUACAUGUUACUCAAUUCAUGGUUGUCUCACUGACAGGGCUGGUUGGCUGGUACGACUAAGUGAUAUCUUGGAUAAAAAUGGUUGUUUAGCAGAGUCAAAACCUGCUAAGUAAAUGCACCCCUUAGAUUAACAUGUCACCUUUCACAACAUGUGCAGUACAAUAUACCAUGAUAUCUUUUGGAGGACAUUAUUCAAACUAUCCAUGUGUAUUGUGUCUUGAUUAUAUCAUGUAACUAAGUUGCAUGUCAUUCUAUGGAAUGAAUGGACACUAACUUGAUUUGUCAAAUUACCUCCUGAGUUAUAAAAUGGGAAGGCUCUUGAGUUUGCAAAAUUGUGGCUUUUUCUUUACAAUAAUUGAAAUGAAUGUUUAAUUGAUAGUGCUCUUACUUCUUACAUUUCCAGCAAUUUUAUAACUCGUAGCAUGUUUUCUACAACAUGUAUUGUCUUCAAUGUAAAUUGCUUUACAGGUGGGUUUAGGACUUUACUGACUGAUAGAAAUAAAUUGAUUAUGACUGUUGGAGGAGCUACUGCAUUAGCUGCUGGAGUUUACACAACCAGGGAAGGUGCCAGAGUUACCUGGGGUUAUAUCAACCGAAUACUGGGGCAACCAUCACUGAUCCGAGAAUCAUCCAUUGUUAGAUUUCCAUUUUCUGGGGUAUUAUCUCGUGUAAGGAACAAUGUUUCCAAAUAUAGCACAACAGCUGGGACAGCAGUGCCUUUGGAAAGAAAGGGUGGCUUCAAAAAUAUUGUUCUUCAUCCUUCAUUGCAAAGGAGAAUAGAGCACCUUGGUAGGGCUACAGCCAACACUAAAACUCACCAGGCUCCAUUUCGCAACAUGAUGUUUUAUGGACCUCCUGGCACUGGUAAAACCAUGGUUGCAAGGGAGAUAGCUCGAAAAUCGGGUUUAGAUUAUGCUAUGAUGACAGGAGGGGAUGUUGCGCCAUUAGGUGCACAGGCUGUUACAAAAAUACAUGAGAUUUUUGAUUGGGCUAAGAAGUCUAGGAAGGGCCUUCUGCUUUUUAUUGAUGAGGCUGAUGCAUUCCUGAGUGAGUAAGUUCAUCAUAGUCUGAUAUGUCAUCUUCCUUCUUGGUAUUAAAAAGAUAUUCCUCCUGUUCAUGAUAUUUGAUAAAUUUUCAUAUAUGGAAUUGUAAGUUCAUCAAGGUCCCAAUUUUGACUUCAAAUUUUGGUCCAUUUUUCCUAUUUUCCUAUUUGAAUUUGAACUUAAACUAAGGAUAUGGCAGGUUUUGUUGGAAUAUGUGGGAAGUUCUGGAAAAGUUUGGAACAAUAUUAGUUCUUUAUUAGGCUUUGAAAAUCCAAAUUUUUGGCUUAGGAUCAUGGCUAGGAGUUUAGGCAACUAUGCUGACAGUUCUAUUACUGAUUUAAUGCAGGCGUAAUAGUACACACAUGAGUGAAGCUCAACGAAGUGCUUUAAAUGCAUUGCUCUUUCGAACUGGGGAUCAAUCAAGAGAUAUAGUUCUUGUCCUUGCCACAAACAGACCAGGUGACCUGGACAGUGCCAUCACCGACCGUAUUGAUGAAGUGAUUGAAUUCCCGCUUCCUGGGGAGGAGGAACGCUUCAAAUUGUUAAAUCUUUACUUGAGAAAGUACCUCUCUGAUGAAGCUGAAAAUGAGUCAAGUUGGGGCUCUUUAUUCAAGAAGAAGCCACAAAAGAUAACCAUUAAGGAUAUUUCUGAAGAUGUGAUUCGAGAGGCUGCUAGGAAGAUAGAAGGGUUCUCUGGUCGUGAGAUAGCUAAACUCAUGGCAAGUGUCCAAGCAGCUGUCUAUGGGCGGCCUGACUGUGUAUUGGAUUCCCAGCUGUUCAGGGAGGUUGUAGAUUUCAAGGUUGCGGAGCAUCACCAGCGAAUAAAACUGGCCGAAGAAGGAAGUCAACCAGCGUAGCUGGGGGAUAUGUUCUUGAUUUGAGAAUCUACAUACAUACGAGAUCUGUCCCAAAUCAAAGCUGAAUUUUUUGUUCUUUUUCCAUAUUUUUGAAUGUUGGACGUGUAUUAUUUCUAUUCAUGAAAGAGAUGCAGGCCAGUGCAGUUCCCUUUGUUUUCUCAACACCUCUCCUUCUACCUUUUCACUACUCUCAGUUGCCAAGGACUUUUGUUUUUUCAUGCUCUGGGAGCAACAUUCUCACAGGAAAAUUACUCCUUUUUUCCGCAAACAUUGUGAAUCAUGAAGGGAGAUUAACUAUUCUUUAAAUCAUUUCUUUACAAUGAUUAUGUAUUCUCACUAGAAAUGGUUUCAUUUCUGUAUUUGCACUCUUUACAUAUUCAACUAAAUCUAAAAAUAUUCUAUUCUGGC
Molecule: unclassified non-coding RNA, 4823 nt
Filed under: Hevea brasiliensis (rubber tree)
Lineage: Eukaryota; Viridiplantae; Streptophyta; Magnoliopsida; Malpighiales; Euphorbiaceae
Source: RNAcentral